Molecule: long non-coding RNA, 852 nt
Filed under: Equus asinus (donkey)
Lineage: Eukaryota; Metazoa; Chordata; Mammalia; Perissodactyla; Equidae
Description: lncRNA (ENSEASG00005037492.1)
Source: RNAcentral
CUGCUUGCAGCUUUACUAACUAGGAGCAUUUCCUGCAUAACUGUCCUUCAGGGCCUCAACCAAAUGAGGCUACAAUACCACAGCAUUCUAGUUUCAGCUCCGCAUAUUAUGCAGAAUCUUCUCCCUGCUGCAAAUUAUUGCAAACUGCCCCAUCUUACCUCUACUGGUUAAGUGCCACCAUGGGAUCUCACCAUCUUCAUUGUAACAAAAGAGUCCAUUCAAUGGCAGUGCCUCCUGCCUUUAUCCAAGGUCCAUCCACUUUUCAAAGAAGAUGGUGCUCUGCUCGCCAAUGUAUUUCUCAAUCUUGUGGUGAAGAGGAUGUUCUUUUGGAAUUCUGGGGAGUUGACACCAUGACUAUCAGGUUAGCAGGUAUAUGCAACAUACUGAAUCCACUCUUCCAGAACCAGAUGACUCACCCGUCAUUAUUAUAGUUUAUUAUCCCCCUACCAUUGUGAUAAGAUAUCUGAAGGGGCAAACGAAAUGAGCACGUCUCAGUUAUGUUUAAUAAUCAGAACCAUUACUGGCAUAAUGGAUUGGAUAUUUGAUGUUGGGACAGCAUUUGAAAAAGCCUAGAACAAAAUGUUUCUGGAGGCUGGAAGUCCAAGAUCAAGGUGUUGGAAAAUUAGAUUUCUCCUGAGGCCUCUCUCCUUGGCUUGCAGAUGGCCACCUCCUCGAUGUGUCCUCCCAUGACCUUUUCUCUGUGUGCAUAAAUCUCUGGAAUCUCUUUCUCUUCUUAUAAAGACCAUAGUCAUAUUGGAUUAGUAGCCCACCCUUAUGACCUCAUUUAAACUAAUCACCUCUUCAAAGGCUCUGCCUCCGAAUACGGUUACAUUGGGGGAUUAGGGCUUCAAU